UACGUAGGGGGCAAGCGUUGUCCGGAUUUAUUGGGCGUAAAGCGCUCGCAGGUGGUUCGUCGCGUCGUGCGUGAAAGACCCCGGUUCAACUGGGGGAGGUCGUGCGAUACGGGCGGACUGGAGGCCAGUAGGGGGAUGCGGAAUUCCGGGUGUAGUGGUGGAAUGCGUAGAGAUCCGGAGGAACACCAGCGGCGAAGGCGGCAUCCUGGACUGGUCCUGACACUCAUGAGCGAAAGCGUGGGGAGCGAUCCGG
This 253-nucleotide ribosomal RNA is filed under the name uncultured bacterium. Its description in RNAcentral is "partial 16S ribosomal RNA". It matches the Rfam family "Bacterial small subunit ribosomal RNA", at positions 524 to 776 of the family's 1533-position model. The record is from RNAcentral.